AUAUUAACAUUUACAUUUAGUCAUUUAGCAGAGCUUUUAUCAAAAGCGACUUACAAAUGAGGACAAUGGAAGCAAUCAAAAUCAACAAAAGAGCAUUGGUAUGCAAGUGCUAUAGCUUCCCAUUUAUUUUCUAUGGGUGCCCCAUUUUUGGGCACGAAUAACAAAUUUAGGAGUUUCUUUUCAACCACUUAAUUUUGUUGAAUCGAGUCUCUUUUUUGUGCGUGUUCAGGUGGCAAACUUACGAAAAGUAGCCAAGUCUUAGCUUAGGAAACUAUUUUAAAAAAUAAAUAAUGAUUUUGCCCAAAUUUGUCCCGCAUUAUGAAUGAGGGUUAAAUCGGAACAUUUGGGGUGAGGAAAGAAAUUUGGAUUAACUGUAAAAUAAUUAAGAAUAAAACAUGUUUUGUGAUUAUGAUAAACAUAAUAAAUGAGGGGGAAAAAGUUAAGAAUUGAAUUCCUGCCGCUAGUUGUGUUGUGUGUAAAGCACCUUGGAAAGACCUGCCUACCGGGAUUAGACACAGCGCUAUUUUGGGGCUCUUGUCACAUUGCUCGUCAGAUUCAUAGCGCUGCUGGGCUGGGUCACGCUGCUAGGACUCGACACAAAUAAACACCAAGAAAGAGCCUUGAAACCGGGUUAAUUUAAAAAGUUUCAUAGUUGGUCACUUCAUUAGCGUUUCUGCUUUGACAUACCUCUGGAAGUUACCGAGUGUAAAUACUUUGGCGUUUGCGAGAGACACGACGCUUCUGAAACUUUUGCGUGCGGAACGACGUUGAAAGACGAAAUGGGCGAGAAUGAUAUUCAAAUGGAGAGUACAGAGCAAAUGCAGGAGCCUCACGCUUCAACCUCGGACAAAAUCGACUUGUCAUUAGACGACAUUAUAAAGCUGAAUAAGAAGGAACAGAAGGCAAACAGAGCUGCCAACAGAGCUAAAACUAAACGUGCUGUUAACAGGAACAACGUCUUGAAGAAACUCCACCAGGUUCCGCAGCAACAGAGGGGACUCAGACGAGGAGCGCAGCAGUACCAAGGGCCUGGCAGGGUGAGAGGUUUAAGGAGACAAAGAGGAUCUGGGAGGGGCAUGAUUUCGAGAAGGGAUUCACUAAAUAGAGCUGCUGCUGCUGCCACGACUGGUGAGCAGUUUGAUCAGAGCACAUUCACAUCGAGGGGAACAUUCAGAGGACGGGGAAGAGGUAGAGGAAGAGGAGGCGGACUGAGCAGGGGUGCAUUCUCAACAAGAGGACAAAGGGGUGGAAGACCAUUUGUAUUAGACAGAGGGUUUGCCGCUACAAAAAGAGCUGAGAAACUACAAAAGUAUCAGACAAUAAGAAGUCGAAGAACAGCACCAUCUGGCUCCAUGCUGACAGUUUCCCUGCCAAAUGCUAAAUCUGCACCUGUCGCUGUGAAGACGUCUAAUCAGACUAGGAGGGGUGGGGCAGUGUUAAGAGGCAGAUCAUCUAGAGGAGCCAGUACUUCUUCACUUCAGGGGAUUCAUCUGCAAUUUAACUACAAAGCAACUACUAACCAGACUGCCGUAUACCUUAAUGACCGUUUCACUGACCUGAGGUUAAGAGGCCAAGGACGAGGCCGGGGAAGAGGAAGAGGAGCUGUUGGAGAAGGUGGAAGAGGUGGAGGAAGAGGAAACAUUGUUGGGGGUGGACAAGGUAGAGGACAAGGAAACAUUGGUGGUGUAAGAGGCAGAGGAAGAGGAAACUUUAUGAGGGGUGGCAGAGACAGAGGCAGAGGAAGAGGAAACUUUAUGAGGGGUGGCAGAGACAGAGGAAGAGGAAACAUUAUGGGGGGUGGCAGAGGAAGAGGGGGGGUUGGUGUGACAAGAGGAGGAAGAGGCUUGAGAAGAGGGAGGGGAGGAUCAAGAGGAGCCGAUCGAACAGUAACUCUUCAGUGAUUAGAAUUACAUCCAUUCAAUUUUAUGAAGUAAUAGUAUUUACUGAAAAAUUCAUUUUUGGUAAAAAAAAAAUUUAUUUUGGUGCAUCACUGUUUACUGUAAUAAUGUCGUUCAACUUAAUAUCUGUAACAUUUCUGACAGCGGGAUAAGGGGUUUUUAUUGCUGUGUACAAACAAAAAAAAAUGUCCUUUUUAAAAGCAAAUGUAAAUUAUUGAUUGUUAUAUGAUGAAGGUUUUUACAUUUUUAGGUUAUGAAAAAAUAAAAUGUUAAAAAGUACCUCA
Molecule: long non-coding RNA, 2182 nt
Organism: Cyprinus carpio (common carp)
Lineage: Eukaryota; Metazoa; Chordata; Actinopteri; Cypriniformes; Cyprinidae
Source: Ensembl